Molecule: ribosomal RNA, 492 nt
Filed under: uncultured bacterium
Lineage: Bacteria
Description: partial 16S ribosomal RNA
Rfam family: Bacterial small subunit ribosomal RNA
Source: RNAcentral
AAUGAACUCUUGCGGUAGGCCUAACACAUGCAAGUCGAACGGCAGCACCGUGAUGUCUUGCUCUUCCGGCUUGCGAGUAGCGGACGGUUCACGACUACAUCGCUCUCUACUUUUUCGUGGGGAAUAACAAAGGGAGACUUACCCUACUACCCCAUACGGCCUCCGCCUGAAAGCAUUCUAUCUUCCCUUCUUUCACGCUUGCAUGAUCCGAUGUCGUAUUAGCUAGUUGGCUGGUUAAAGGCCCACCAAGGCGACGAUCCGUAGCUGGUCUGAGAGGAUGAGCAGCCACACUGGAACUGAGACACGGUCCAGACUCCUACGGGAGGCAGCAGUGGGGAAUAUUGGACAAUGGGCGCAAGCCUGAUCCAGUCAUACCGCGUGUGUGAAGAAGGCAUUCGGGUUGUAAAGCCCGUUUGUUGGGAAAGAAAAGCAGCAGGUGAAUACCCCGCUGUUCUGACGGUACCAGAAGAAUAAGCACCGGCUAACUUCGUG